Trifolium pratense (red clover) is the source of this 1018-nucleotide long non-coding RNA. RefSeq lists it as uncharacterized. The record is from RefSeq and is a predicted model, not a curated record. Lineage: Eukaryota; Viridiplantae; Streptophyta; Magnoliopsida; Fabales; Fabaceae. The transcript is spliced from 3 exons.
UUAUUUUUUUAUGUGUUUGCAGAACACAAAUUCGUCAUUUGUAUCUCAAUCAACGUAGAAAAGUCCUAUUGUGUCACAAUGUCAUGCCUUCUUGAAUAUUUUUAUCAUGUGUGUUUGCUAUUGCUCUAUUCAAUUUUCAUGAUUUUGUGCUUAAUUUCUUUUAAAAUACUUUUAUGGAUAGAUUUGAAUAUUUGACUAUCUUUGAAAUACUCCCUCCGUCCCAAAUUAUAAAGGAAAAAAGCCCAUUUUUUUGUCCCAAAUUAUAAGAGAAAAAAUAUAAUUGUAAAGCAAACUUUUUUUUUUUGUUGAUGUGUCAUCUCUACAAAAACUCUUAUGCUUAUGUGUCAUCUCUACAAAACUCAUAUUUUUUCAUAUACAUUGUCAUUGUAUAUACUCUUAUGUUUCCUUCAUGUUUGUAACUCCCAAAUAACUUUCUCAUUAAUUUUUAUGGCCUAAAUCAUAUGAAAAGUUGUAAAUUUUUUGAAACGGUACACUCUUUUAAUAUUAGUAAUCUUUUGCUAUUUUCCUAUCAAAAAAUCUUCUUAGCCUUUCAAUUCCCACAAAAAAUUAAAACAUGACAUUAAUUGACUAUAUAUAUAUGUGCCUUAUGAACAAUUUCUUGGUAGAUAUGAGUUUGUGGACUUUCAAUUUGAGAGGUGUGUGUAUUCCAGAAGGAGAAUAAUAAUCAAAGCUUUCUGAGGCGUGCAAAUAGAGUGGUCGAUUGCUACCGCAACAUAUAAAGGCUUUUUGAGGCGUGCAAAUGGAGUGGUUGAUUGCUACCGCAACAUAUAAAGGGUAACAUUUAAGCUUGAAGUGACAGAUGCAUGUUUGGAUACAAGUUAUGCCAUCGGGAACUUUAGUAAGCUGUCAUAAAAUUAAAAAAUAUAGUUGUACAAUUGUAGAAUUUGAUAUAUUGUUGUGGAAUUAAUUUAAUUCCAAACCUUUUUUCAAACUUCUUUGGAUUGAGCUAGAUAGAUGACAUGUAUAUGUAUGAUGAAAAGAUAAGAUUAAUGAUAAU